Molecule: unclassified non-coding RNA, 213 nt
Filed under: uncultured Lactifluus
Lineage: Eukaryota; Fungi; Basidiomycota; Agaricomycetes; Russulales; Russulaceae
Description: sequence contains ITS2
Source: RNAcentral
AAUCCUCAACCUUCUCUGUUUCUUUUUGAAUCAGAAAAGGCUUGGACUUUGGAGGUUUCUGCUGGUCUCUCUUGAAGCCAGCUCCUCUUAAAUGUAUUAGCAGGGUCCUCUUGGUCGAUCCUCGACGUGAUAAGAUUCUUUUACGUCGGCUUUGCCUCUUUUGGGACCUACUUCCAAUCGUCUCAGAGUUGCUCUUUGACCUACAAAUGAACC